CCCAUAAGCAUUGCACAGAUCCUUUAGGGCUCCCCCAGAUCCUAUAGGGCUCCCCCUGACCCUAUAGGCACCGCCCAACCCCGUAAGCCUCGCCCAGAUCCUAUAGGUACCCACAGAUCCUAUAGGCACCGCCCAACCCCAUAGGCAUUGCCCAGAUCCUAUAGGGCACCUCCAGAUCCUAUAGGGCUCCCCCUGCCCCUAUAGGCACUGCCCAGAUCCUAUAGGUACCCCCAGAUCCUAUAGGCACCGCCCAACCCCAUAAGCAUCGCACAGAUCCUUUAGGGCUCCCCCAGAUCCCAUAGGGCUCCCCCAGAUCCUAAAGGGCUCCCCCAGAUCCUAUAGGGCUCCCCUUGCCCCUAUACACACCUUCCAAACCCCAUAGGCAUUGCCCAGAUCCUAUAGGCACCCCCUGAUCCUAUAGGACUCCGCCUGCCCCUAUAGGCACCACACAGAUCCUAUUGGUCAUCCCCUGUCCCUAUAGGCACCGCCCAACCCCAUAAGCCUCGCCCAGAUCCUAUAGGGCACCCCCAGAUCCUAUGGGGCUCCCCCUGCCCCUAUAGGCACCGCUCAACCCCGUAAGCAUCGUCCAGAUCCUAUAGUUGCCCCCAGAUCCUAUGGGGCUCCCUCUGCCCCUAUAGGCACCACCCAGAUCCUAUAGAUACCCCCAGAUCCUAUAGGGCUCCGCCUGCCCCUAUAGGCACCACACAGAUCCUAUAGGUACCCCCAGAUCCUAUAGAUACCAACCAACCCCAUAGGGAUUGCCCAGAUCCUAUAGGUACCCCCAGAUCCUAUAGGGCUCCCCCUGUCCCUAUAGGCACCGCCCAACCCCAUAAGCAUCCCACAGAUCCCGUAGGGCUCCCCCAGAUCCUAUAGGGCACCCCCUGCCCCUAUAGGCACCACCCAGAUCCUAUAGGCACCCCCAGAUCCUAUAGGCACCGCCCAACCCCAUAAGCAUCCCACAGAUCCUAUAGGGCACCCUUGAUCCUAUAGGGUUCCCCCUGCCCCUAUAGGCACCAUCCAACCCCAUAGGCAUUGCCCAGAUCCUACAGGUACCCCCAGAUCCUAUAGGGUAUCUCUUGCCCCUAUAGGCACCUCCCCACCCCCCCAUAGAUUUUCUAUAGAUACCCCAUAUCCACCCCAUAUCCCUAUAGAUCCCCUAUAGCCACCCCACACCCCACAUAGAUCCCCUCCGGCCACCCCACACCCCCUUUAGAUACCCUAUAGAUCCCCUAUAACCACCCCACACCCCUUUUGAUACCCUACAGAUCCCCUAUAACUGCCCCAAACCCUUUUAAACACCCCAUAGAUCCCCUAUAACCACCCCACCCCCCUUCAGAUACCCUAUAGAUGCCAUAUAACCACCCCAAUCCCCUUUAAAUACUCUACAGAUCCCCUAUAACCACCCCAAUCCCCUUCAGACACCCCAUAGAUCCCCUAUAACCACCCCAAUCCCCUUCAGACACCCUAUAGAUCCCCUAUAACCACCCCACCCCCCUUCAGACACCCUAUAGAUACCCUAUAACCACCCCAACCCCCUUUAGAUACCCUACAAAUCCCCUAUAACCACCUCAAUCCCUUUCAGACACCCUAUAGCUCCCCUAUAACCACCCCACUCCCCUUCAGAUACCCUAUAGAUCCCCUAUAACCACCCCACACCCCUUCAGACCCCCUAUUACCACCCCAACCCCCUUCAGAUACCCUAUAGAUGCCCUAUAACCACCCCAAUUCCCUUUAGACACCCUAUAGAUCCCCUAUAAACCCCCCUUUAGAUACCCUAUAGACCCCCUACAACCACCCCACCCCCCCUUCAGACACCCUAUAGAUCCCCUAUAACCACCCCACCCCCCUUCAGAUACCCUAUAGAUGCCCUAUAGCCACCCCAACCCCCUUCAGAUACCCUAUAGAUCCCCUAUAACCACCCCAAUCCCUUUUAGACACCCUAUAGAUCCCCUAUAACCACACCACCCCCUUCAGAUACCCUAUAGAUGCCCUAUAACGGCCCCAAUCCCUUUUAGACACCCCGUAGAUCCCCUAUAAC
RNAcentral lists this long non-coding RNA (2038 nucleotides) under Gallus gallus (chicken). Its description in RNAcentral is "lncRNA (ENSGALG00010029060.1)". The record is from RNAcentral. Lineage: Eukaryota; Metazoa; Chordata; Aves; Galliformes; Phasianidae.